RNAcentral lists this ribosomal RNA (542 nucleotides) under uncultured Actinomycetes bacterium. Its description in RNAcentral is "bacterial SSU rRNA". It matches the Rfam family "Bacterial small subunit ribosomal RNA", at positions 8 to 576 of the family's 1533-position model. Lineage: Bacteria; Bacillati; Actinomycetota; Actinomycetes. The record is from RNAcentral.
AGAGUUUGAUUCUGGCUCAGGACGAACGCUGGCGGCGGGCCUAACACAUGCAAGUCGAACGAGAUGCCUUCGGGUAUCUAGUGGCGAACGGGUGAGUAACACGUGAGGAACCUGCCCCGAAGACGGGGAUAACCGUGGGAAACUGCGGCUAAUACCCGAUACCCCCGACGCGGCGCAUGCCGUGACGAGGAAAACUCAGGUGCUUCGGGAGGGUCUCGCGGCCUAUCAGCUAGUUGGUGAGGUAACAGCUCACCAAGGCUUUGACGGGUAGCUGGUCUGAGAGGACGAUCAGCCACACUGGGACUGAGACACGGCCCAGACUCCUGCGGGAGGCAGCAGUGGGGAAUCUUGCGCAAUGGGCGAAAGCCUGACGCAGCCACGCCGCGUGGGGGACGAAGGCCCUCGGGUUGUAAACCCCUUUCAGCGGGGACGAAAUGACGGUACCUGCAAAAGAAGCUCCGGCCAACUACGUGCCAGCAGCCGCGGUAACACGCAGGGAGCAAGCGUUGUCCGGAUUUAUUGGGCGUAAAGGGCUCGUAGGC